UACGUAGGGGGCAAGCGUUGUCCGGAUUUACUGGGCGUAAAGAGCGCGCAGGCGGUCGUUCAAGUCGAGUGUGAAAGCCCCCGGCUCAACUGGGGAGGGUCACUCGAUACUGAUCGACUCGAAGGCAGGAGAGGGAAGUGGAAUUCCCGGUGUAGUGGUGAAAUGCGUAGAUAUCGGGAGAACACCAGUGGCGAAGGCGACUUCCUGGCCUAUUCUUGACGCUGAGGCGCGAAAGCUAGGGGAGCAAACGGG
RNAcentral lists this ribosomal RNA (252 nucleotides) under uncultured bacterium. RNAcentral's name for it is "partial 16S ribosomal RNA". It matches the Rfam family "Bacterial small subunit ribosomal RNA", at positions 524 to 776 of the family's 1533-position model. The record is from RNAcentral.